UUACAGCCAUAUCAUGUUGAUACACCAAUUCCUGUAAAAUCACUGAAGUUAAGCAAUGUUGGGCCAGGUCAGUACUUUGAUGGGUGACUGCUUGGGAAUAAUAGGUGCAGUA
Non-coding RNA from Acanthosepion pharaonis, 112 nucleotides. Lineage: Eukaryota; Metazoa; Mollusca; Cephalopoda; Sepiida; Sepiidae. The record is from the annotation of a GenBank genome assembly.